This 338-nucleotide long non-coding RNA is filed under the name Lactuca sativa (garden lettuce). Its description in RNAcentral is "long non-coding RNA (LSAT_LNC007699)". Lineage: Eukaryota; Viridiplantae; Streptophyta; Magnoliopsida; Asterales; Asteraceae. The record is from RNAcentral.
GAAGCUCGAAGAUGAUUUUGAUACUUUCACCACUACGAAAUCCGCUGCCCUAGCGCAACCUCUGGUCGACGCGCACAUACCGUAUAAGAUCCAUAUCGUGAAAGAUCAUGACAUGAAGGAGAGGCUUUGUUUGGAAGUUGAACGACUAGGGUUAAGUGCGGUUAUCAUGGGAAGCCGAGGAUUCGGUGCAACAAAACGCGGAACCGAUGGGAGGCUCGGGAGUGUUAGCGAUUACUGUGUCCGUCACUGUGUGUGCCCGGUGGUGGUUGUGAGAUAUCCCGAUGAGAAAGAUCCCGCUGCUGCUGUUGAGCCGGUGGUGUCGGUUGCAACAGCCGAUG